GUUCUCUUGAGACCCUGGUUAGUUCCUGAGAGAGGAGAUUGUAUAAAAAGAGCAAGACUCCCCCAAAUCUCUCCGGUUUCCUGUCUCUUCCUGCAAUUGUUCUUACAUGUGUUUUCACCACUGUGACACCCUCUGCCAGGAGGCCCUAACCAGAGUUGAACAGAUGCCAACCCAUGCUUUCGAGCCUCCUGAACACAUCACAUAAUGCUGUAAAAAACAGCAUUAAAAAUUUGCAGUACCUAACACUCGGAAGCCACUGGAGAAUCCACUGACAGAUUAACCAGAGAGCUUCAACAUCUACAAGCUUUGAUCCAAUAUGCAACCCACCCAAAUGGGCUGAGAUGCCCUGAAGAGUCAUUCUCCACAGCUGGAAACAAUUCCGCCUUUCAGACUGAAGCCUGGAUGUGAAAGGAGCCCAUGACCGCGGCAUCUUCCAGGUGUGGCCAAGCUGCUGUGGAGCUCCAGGGCAGCCCAGGCACAGCCACACCUUCCCACCUUUCCUUUAUUUGUCAUUCAGCUACUCGUUUCGGGAGUAACCUCUUUCACUUCCAUCACUGCACCCAGUCUACAGCAUUUGUCUCUCUUUGACAUUAAUAGCUUUUUAGAUUCCUGAUUGUCACUCCUGCUUCCUGGAGGCAGAGCCAGCAGGCAUGCCACAUGGUUUAUUGAGUCUCCAGCUGGGACCUCUGAGGGAUACUGAGAGGCCUCUUCCAUGUCAGCUGCCUCCUAACCCUCCACUGUGUUGUGGAAUUCCCCUUACGUCCCGUGAAUGGACCGGCAGCAGCAUAUCUCCGGCCACCUGGGCUCCCCACUGUUCCUGGCCCUUGCAGUCAACAGAUGUGUUGUUCAGAGACGGCUGGCCAAGCUGUGGAUGCGAAGCCUUCCCCAGGCUUGGCUCUGGAAGCUCCAACUCAAAACUCUGAGCGGGAGCAUCUGAGGCUCCUCCAGGAAACAGGUUAUACAAAUCUUUCUUCUCUAUCACUCAGCUCAUGCAUAUUCAUAAAUAGAACUCCGGGCUGAAGAUAAUGAUUCAUGCAGGAAGCACCAUUCUGAACAUUAUUAUCUGGGAGUGACAAAUGAAUUUCUAAUUUAACAUGUGUAUUGCACAAAUAGAUCACAAGAACUUUAAAGUCAGAAGCAUCCUUUGGAGUCAUGCAAACUUCUGUUGUACCAUAAAAUGAUAGAGAAAGGAAGAAGUCUCCCACCGGUGGGCGGUACAUAGUGGUUCCCAUCAAAGCAGAGGAGAAAUGAAAGGCAGUGAGAUUUCAAACACUGCUUGAGUUUACAAUAGAAGACAAUAAUAAUGACCAGGAAUAAAAGAACAAUGGCAAAAACAGAGAGCCAGCCAGUAGCACAAGCAACGCCAUGAUUUCUAGUUAUUACUUGAGGAUGAACAGAAUUCUCCCUUCCCCCACCCCCUGCUGACAACAAAAAUGGAAUGGAGGUCAGUUGAGUUCCGUGGUUGUUCAAUAAGAAUCAGAGGGCACCAACUGCAAAGCAAGCCUGCAGAGGGAGGG
Heterocephalus glaber (naked mole-rat) is the source of this 1517-nucleotide long non-coding RNA. Lineage: Eukaryota; Metazoa; Chordata; Mammalia; Rodentia; Bathyergidae. The record is from Ensembl.